GACGAACGCUGGCGGCGUGCUUAACACAUGCAAGUCGAACGGACAGGCCCUGCUUUUGUGGGUUGCUCGAGUGGCGAACGGGUGAGUAACACGUGAGUAACCUGCCCUUGACUUUCUGAUAACUUCAGGAAACUCGGGCUAAUACCGCAUAGGAGCUCCUGCUGCAUGGUGGUGGAUGGAAAGUUUCGGCUGUUGUGGAUGGACUCGCGGCUUCUCAGCUUGUUGGUCGGGUAGUUGCUUACCAAGCCUUUGACGGGUAGCCGGCCUGAGAGGGGUACCGGCGACAUGGGGACUGAGAUACGGCGCAGACGCCUACGGGAGGCAGCAGGGGGGAAUAUUGCACAAUGGGCGGAAGCCUGAGGCAGAAACGCUGCGUGCGGGAUGACGGCCUUCGGGGUGUAAACCGAUUUCGCCUGUGACGAAGCGUGAGUGACGGUAAUGGGUAAAGAAGCACCGGCUAACUACGUG
Molecule: ribosomal RNA, 468 nt
Filed under: uncultured bacterium
Lineage: Bacteria
Description: partial 16S ribosomal RNA
Rfam family: Bacterial small subunit ribosomal RNA
Source: RNAcentral